This 503-nucleotide ribosomal RNA is filed under the name uncultured bacterium. Its description in RNAcentral is "partial 16S ribosomal RNA". It matches the Rfam family "Bacterial small subunit ribosomal RNA", at positions 30 to 523 of the family's 1533-position model. The record is from RNAcentral.
AUUGAACGCUGGCGGCAGGCUUAACACAUGCAAGUCGAGCGGGGUGAUGGUGCUUGCACUAUCACUUAGCGGCGGACGGGUGAGUAAUGCUUAGGAAUCUGCCUAUUAGUGGGGGACAACAUCUCGAAAGGGAUGCUAAUACCGCAUACGUCCUACGGGAGAAAGCAGGGGAUCACUUGUGACCUUGCGCUAAUAGAUGAGCAUAAGUCGGAUUAGCUAGUUGGUGGGGUAAAGGCCUACCAAGGCGACGAUAUGUAGCGGGUCGGAGAGGAUGAUCCGCCACACUGGGACUGAGACACGGCCCAGACUCCUACGGGAGGCAGCAGUGGGGAAUAUUGGACAAUGGGGGGAACCCUGAUCCAGCCAUGCCGCGUGUGUGAAGAAGGCCUUAUGGUUGUAAAGCACUUUAAGCGAGGAGGAGGCUCUUUUGGUUAAUACCCAAGAUGAGUGGACGUUACUCGCAGAAUAAGCACCGGCUAACUCUGUGCCAGCCGCCGCGGUAA